Molecule: transfer RNA, 75 nt
Filed under: Aeromonas hydrophila subsp. hydrophila AL09-71
Lineage: Bacteria; Pseudomonadati; Pseudomonadota; Gammaproteobacteria; Aeromonadales; Aeromonadaceae
Also listed under: 1 other name
Description: tRNA-Val (TAC) (tRNA-Val-TAC-3-1)
Rfam family: tRNA
About the family: Transfer RNA (tRNA) molecules are approximately 80 nucleotides in length.
Source: RNAcentral
GGUCGUUUAGCUCAGCUGGGAGAGCACCUCCCUUACAAGGAGGGGGUCACUGGUUCGACCCAGUAACGACCACCA